RNAcentral lists this transfer RNA (83 nucleotides) under Hymenobacter sp. RNAcentral describes it as "tRNA-Tyr". It matches the Rfam family "tRNA". From Rfam's summary of the family: Transfer RNA (tRNA) molecules are approximately 80 nucleotides in length. Their secondary structure includes four short double-helical elements and three loops (D, anti-codon, and T loops). Further hydrogen bonds mediate the characteristic L-shaped molecular structure. tRNAs have two regions of fundamental functional importance: the anti-codon, which is responsible for specific mRNA codon recognition, and the 3' end, to which the tRNAs corresponding amino acid is attached (by aminoacyl-tRNA synthetases). tRNAs cope with the degeneracy of the genetic code in two manners: having more than one tRNA (with a specific anti-codon) for a particular amino acid; and 'wobble' base-pairing, i.e. permitting non-standard base-pairing at the 3rd anti-codon position. The record is from RNAcentral. Lineage: Bacteria; Pseudomonadati; Bacteroidota; Cytophagia; Cytophagales; Hymenobacteraceae.
GGGGAGUUAUACCGUAGGAGUAGCGGGACUGGCUGUAAACCAGUUGCCGAAAGGCUCGGGUGGUUCAACUCCAUCACUUCCCA